This 429-nucleotide ribosomal RNA is filed under the name Chloroflexota bacterium. RNAcentral describes it as "Chloroflexi bacterium partial 16S ribosomal RNA". It matches the Rfam family "Bacterial small subunit ribosomal RNA", at positions 355 to 776 of the family's 1533-position model. The record is from RNAcentral. Lineage: Bacteria; Bacillati; Chloroflexota.
UGGGGAAUAUUGCACAAUGGGCGCAAGCCUGAUGCAGCCAUGCCGCGUGUAUGAAGAAGGCCUUCGGGUUGUAAAGUACUUUCAGCGGGGAGGAAGGGAGAAAAGUUAAUACCUUUGCUCAUUGACGUUACCCGCAGAAGAAGCACCGGCUAACUCCGUGCCAGCAGCCGCGGUAAUACGGAGGGUGCAAGCGUUAAUCGGAAUUACUGGGCGUAAAGCGCACGCAGGCGGUUUGUUAAGUCAGAUGUGAAAUCCCCGGGCUCAACCUGGGAACUGCAUCUGAUACUGGCAAGCUUGAGUCUCGUAGAGGGGGGUAGAAUUCCAGGUGUAGCGGUGAAAUGCGUAGAGAUCUGGAGGAAUACCGGUGGCGAAGGCGGCCCCCUGGACGAAGACUGACGCUCAGGUGCGAAAGCGUGGGGAGCAAACAGG